AACGAACGCUGGCGGCAUGCCUAACACAUGCAAGUCGAACGAGACCUUCGGGUCUAGUGGCGCACGGGUGCGUAACGCGUGGGAACCUGCCCUUAGGUUCGGAAUAACUCCCCGAAAGGGGUGCUAAUACCGGAUAAUGUCUUCGGAUCAAAGAUUUAUCGCCUUUGGAUGGGCACGCGUUGGAUUAGCUAGUUGGUAGGGUAAAAGCCUACCAAGGCGACGAUACAUAGCUGGUCUGAGAGGAUGAUCAGCCACACUGGGACUGAGACACGGCCCAGACUCCUACGCGAGGCAGCAGUGGGGAAUAUUGGAAAAUGGGCGAAAUCCUGAUGCAGCAAUGCCGCGUGAGUGAUUAAGGCCUGAGGGUUGUAAAGCUCUUUUACCCGGGAUGAUAAUGACAGUACCGGGAGAAUAAGCACCGGCUAACUCCGUG
RNAcentral lists this ribosomal RNA (433 nucleotides) under uncultured bacterium. Its description in RNAcentral is "partial 16S ribosomal RNA". It matches the Rfam family "Bacterial small subunit ribosomal RNA", at positions 29 to 507 of the family's 1533-position model. The record is from RNAcentral.